This 76-nucleotide transfer RNA is filed under the name Erysipelotrichaceae bacterium. Its description in RNAcentral is "tRNA-Ala". It matches the Rfam family "tRNA". Rfam says of the family: Transfer RNA (tRNA) molecules are approximately 80 nucleotides in length. Their secondary structure includes four short double-helical elements and three loops (D, anti-codon, and T loops). The record is from RNAcentral. Lineage: Bacteria; Bacillati; Bacillota; Erysipelotrichia; Erysipelotrichales; Erysipelotrichaceae.
GGGCCUGUAGCUCACCUGGGAGAGCGCUUCCAUGGCAUGGAAGAGGUAGAGGGUUCGAUCCCCUUCAGGUCCACCA